Molecule: ribosomal RNA, 497 nt
Filed under: uncultured bacterium
Lineage: Bacteria
Description: partial 16S ribosomal RNA
Rfam family: Bacterial small subunit ribosomal RNA
Source: RNAcentral
GAUGAGCGCUGGCGGCGUGCCUAAUACAUGCAAGUCGAGCGAACGGACGAGAAGCUUGCUUCUCUGACGUUAGCGGCGGACGGGUGUGUAACACGUGGAUAACCUCCCUAUAAGACUGGGAUAACUUCGGGAAACCGGAUCUAAUACCGGAGAAUAUUUUGAACCGCAUGGUUCAAUAGUGAAAGACGGUCUUGCUGUCACUUAUAGAUGGAUCCGCGCUGCAUUAGCUAGUUGGUAAGGUAACGGCUUACCAAGGCAACGAUGCGUAGCCGACCUGAGAGGGUGAUCGGCCACACUGGAACUGAGACACGGUCCAGACUCCUACGGGAGGCAGCAGUAGGGAAUCUUCCGCAAUGGGCGAAAGCCUGACGGAGCAACGCCGCGUGAGUGAUGAAGGUCUUCGGAUCGUAAAACUCUGUUAUUAGGGAAGAACAUAUGUGUAAGUAACUGUGCACAUCUUGACGGUACCUAAUCAGAAAGCAACGGCUAACUACGUG